UGUGACUCUGAGCCGUAGAGUCAGGCACAGUCAGGAAAGAGACAAAGGAAGCAGAAAGAAUGGAUGCUGGGGAAGAACCAAUUUGGGUGGUUGGGGGAGUAGCAUUUUACUUCCAUGGACAACUUGAAAUGAUUUAGAAGAUACAAGGCCAACGAAGCUACGUUCUUUGUAUGCAAACAUUGGAGCAUUAGAGAGGAAAACAGGAAACUGAGUGGAGACUUUGAAAAGAAACAGUCUGGAGAAGAUGGAACCAAUAUGCUUUUAUUUCAUGUAAAGAUGCAAUUCGUUGUCAAAAGGGAGUGAUAAUUCAUUGUAAGGAGAAUCUAAUCUGAAAUGCCUAUUUUCCUCUCUCAUAGAUAUAUAGCCACAAUGGGCACUCCUCCCUAUUUCAGAUCUUUGUCUACAGAUGAUGACUGUUGUCCCCCACCCCGCAUUUUUGGAACAUAUCUUUGGUUGUGUGUCCUCGGUUCUUGUUCUGCAACUUUAGCAAUCAACAAGUACUAACUGAAAAACCGAGGCAGCAAAGUAUAAAACACAGGUUUGGGCUCUAAUAGCAUUGGAUAUCAAGAACGGCUGACAUCCAGACUAGCAAAGCGCUGCUGCUAUGUGAGGUGCACCAGUGCUGCUGAUGGGUUUGACUAAUGCAGCACCAGCACUGACAUGCAGCCCUCAAAGACAUACUUUUGGGUGGCACAGAACACUUCUGGGGGAAGGGGAGGUCACUGAAAUUUGCCCCCCAUCCCUCUGCAAGCUCCAGUGCUGUGUUAGUCAGGAAUUCGUCAGCAGCACCGGCACACCUUAUGUAGUUCUUCGUUAGUCUGGAUUAGCUAUUAACAAAACAAACCAUUAGUUUAACCAACCAAAGGAUUGAUCUUUUCACUGAUCUGCAGGCCUAAUAUUAGUGGCCAUUUUCCCCCCAAUUGGUUAUUGCAUAUGGUGAGUGACAAGUUAAAAUAAUAAAGAACAAAUGGUAUCUGCAUAGCAAAUAAAUAUCUAAAAUGUUAAAUCUAGCUGUUGUAAUGACUAUUUUUAAAUAGGGUUUGGGCUUUAAAAAAAUUUAAGGAAAUAAGGUUUAAAAAAUCUUUUUUGUAUAUUAUUGGCAGGUCUGAACUUUUCACUUUAACUGGCAAAAACACAGAACCAUAACAACUCACUGUCAAAAGAGUUACACAGAGGGAAGAGAUGGCAAUAAAAUAAACAUCUAUCAUUUUAA
Hemicordylus capensis (graceful crag lizard) is the source of this 1213-nucleotide long non-coding RNA. RefSeq lists it as uncharacterized. NCBI's taxonomy places the organism in Eukaryota, Metazoa, Chordata, Lepidosauria, Squamata, Cordylidae. The record is from RefSeq and is a predicted model, not a curated record. The transcript has 2 exons.